AAGAAUUUAUUUAUUUAUUUUAUUAAUUUUUAUUUUGAUAGAAAUAACUUUUUUUUUAGUAGGUUUUACUGAAAUAAUUAAUUUAAUUAUAGUUUAUUGUACUGUGCAGGAAUAUUUUUAUUUUAUUAUAAGGAGAUUUAAUUUAUUGUACCUUUUGUAUCAGGGUUAAUUAAUUAUUUUUAUUUAUUUAAUUUUCCCGAAAAUGAAAGAGAUAUAAUUAUAUGUUAGUUAAUGUUUCAUAAUUAUUAAUAAUAUAAUUAUAGCAAUGAUAAGUUAUUCGUUUUCAUUAUAUCUGGUUUUCUAAGAAUUGAAUUUAAUUCAGGAUUGUUGAUUUUAUUUUUUUAUUUUAAUUAGGAGUUGUUUUACAAUCUAGGAUUUUCGGGGAUAAGCUCGGGAAUUGAUAUUAUAAUUUUAAAUUAUUUGUUGGUUUUAGUAGGCUUGGAAUCAGCCAUCAUUAAUUUCGUUAUAGAUUAUUCUUGACUGGUAUUAUUUUGUUUAAUUUAAUUUUAUAUUAGGAUUUUUCAUUUAAUUUUUUAUUGUUUGUAAUAAUGAUUAAAUUAGUAUAUUUGUAUUUAAAAUAUAGGAAUUCGGCAAAUAUCAUGCUCGCCUGUUUAACAAAAACAUGUCCUUUUGUUUAUUUAUUUCAGGUUUGGCCUGCCCAAUGAAUUUUUAAUGGCCGCGGUAUAUUAACCGUGCUAAGGUAGCAUAAUCAUUUGUCUUUUAAUUAAGGGCUUGUAUGAAGGGUCGGACGAGGCAUGUUCUUUCUUUAUUUUAUUUUUAGAAUUUAUCUUUUUAGUUAAAAGACUAAAAUUUUUCUGUGGGACGAGAAGACCCUAUAGAUCUUUAUAAUGAAUUAUUUUUAGUUUAUUUAGUUAUUAUUUAAUUUAAUUUAAUUUAUUAUUUGAUUGGGGUGAUUUCAGAAAUUCUAUAACUUCUGUUUUUAUAUUUCGUUUAUGAGCGUUUAAAUGAUCCAUUAUUAGUGAUUUUAAGAUUAAGUUACCUUAGGGAUAACAGCGUAAUCUUUUCGGAGAGUUCAUAUCGAUGAAGGGGUUUGCGACCUCGAUGUUGGAUUAAAAUAAGUAUUAGGUGUAGCAAUUUAAUUACUAGGUCUGUUCGACCUUUAAUUUUUUACAUGAUCUGAGUUCAGACCGGCGUAAGCCAGGUCAGUUUCUAUCUUCAGUUAAUUUUUAUAUUUUAGUACGAAAGGACCAAAUAUAAGGAAUAUUUUUUUUUGUUUUUGAUUUAUAUU
This 1249-nucleotide ribosomal RNA is filed under the name Pachysandalus collaris. RNAcentral describes it as "partial large subunit ribosomal RNA". The stretch from base 816 to 1180 matches the Rfam family "Archaeal large subunit ribosomal RNA", at positions 2150 to 2716 of the family's 2987-position model. Lineage: Eukaryota; Metazoa; Arthropoda; Insecta; Hemiptera; Reduviidae. The record is from RNAcentral.